AUUGAACGCUGGCGGCAUGCCUUACACAUGCAAGUCGAACGGCAGCGGACCUUCGGGUGCCGGCGAGUGGCGAACGGGUGAGUAAUAUAUCGGAACGUACCUUUCAGUGGGGGAUAACGUAGCGAAAGUUACGCUAAUACCGCAUAUUCUGUGAGCAGGAAAGCAGGGGAUCGCAAGACCUUGCGCUGAUUGAGCGGCCGAUAUCAGAUUAGCUAGUUGGUGAGGUAAAGGCUCACCAAGGCGACGAUCUGUAGCGGGUCUGAGAGGAUGAUCCGCCACACUGGAACUGAGACACGGUCCAGACUCCUACGGGAGGCAGCAGUAGGGAAUCUUGCGCAAUGGGCGAAAGCCUGACGCAGCAACGCCGCGUGCGGGACGAAGGCCCUCGGGUUGUAAACCGCUUUCAGUAGGAACGAAACUGACGGUACCUGCAGAAGAAGGUGCGGCCAACUACGUG
This 457-nucleotide ribosomal RNA is filed under the name uncultured bacterium. RNAcentral describes it as "bacterial SSU rRNA". It matches the Rfam family "Bacterial small subunit ribosomal RNA", at positions 30 to 507 of the family's 1533-position model. The record is from RNAcentral.